This 253-nucleotide ribosomal RNA is filed under the name uncultured bacterium. Its description in RNAcentral is "partial 16S ribosomal RNA". It matches the Rfam family "Bacterial small subunit ribosomal RNA", at positions 524 to 776 of the family's 1533-position model. The record is from RNAcentral.
UACGUAGGGUGCAAGCGUUGUCCGGAAUUAUUGGGCGUAAAGAGCUCGUAGGCGGCUUGUCGCGUCGGCUGUGAAAACCUGGGGCUCAACCCCGGGCCUGCAGCCGAUACGGGCAGACUAGAGGUAUGCAGGGGAGAACGGAAUUCCUGGUGUAGCGGUGAAAUGCGCAGAUAUCAGGAGGAACACCGGUGGCGAAGGCGGUUCUCUGGGCAUUACCUGACGCUGAGGAGCGAAAGUGUGGGGAGCGAACAGG